This 131-nucleotide microRNA precursor is filed under the name Cricetulus griseus (Chinese hamster). Its description in RNAcentral is "miRNA (ENSCGRG00001003021.1)". Lineage: Eukaryota; Metazoa; Chordata; Mammalia; Rodentia; Cricetidae. The record is from RNAcentral.
GGUUUCUCUGUGUAGCUUUGGAGCCUAUCCUGGCACUCGCUCUGGAGACCAGGCUGGCCUCGAACUCACAAAGAUUCACCUGCCUCUGCCUCCCGAGUGCUGGGAUUAAAGGCGUGCGCUACCAACGCCCG